AUAUAUAUACAGCAUCAAACUUUAAUGCCAUUAAUGUAUAUUAACUAAUCAUCUGUUAAACAUUAAGCAUAGCUGAAUAAUGAAAUUAUGACCGUCAUGGAAUUUAUUAUAAAGUGUUAGGCUACCUAUAGUUGUGCUGUAAAGAGUGUUUAAUAUAGAGUGGGAACAGAUAAGAAAUGCUACAUUUCCAGGAAAAUCCGUCUCUACUUUGAAAUAUAAAAUUCAACUAAACUGUUAGUCAAAGUUUUUAUUGGUUUAUAAUUACAGCAUGUGAUAAAAUGCCCAACCCAGUCAUCAUCUACUCACCCUCAUGUCAUCCAAACCCCUAUGAUUUUCUUUCUGAAGAUCUGAACAUGUUUUCCACGCAAUUCAUUAAUGAACAGGGAAGCUUCGAGCGUCCAAGAGGAUGCAACAUUACAAUAAAGUGUCAUUAAUGUUGUCAACAAGACUUGCACUAUAUUAUAUAUCUUCUGAAGACGUUUGACAACUUUGUGUGAGAGGUAGAAGGAAAUGCAGGUCGUUGUUAUUCAUUAAUAAGCCUAUUCUUCCCUCCAGUGAUCCAUUAACCACUGCGAACCGACCAAUGAGUCAGUGAGCUGAACUCGAGAAUCGGUUCGUUUCGUGAAUGAAUCAUUUUAAACUCGCCGUGUUAACCGAAUCAACAGAAUCGAUUCUUUUAGUGAAUAACAAUUAACGUUUGUGUCUUCACACAAAGCUUCCCGUUCGUUAUAACUGCAAAACAGUCUUUCACGGAACAAAUCGAAGAAGAUCUGAAUAGCAGGCUCUAAGAUGAAAAACCUAACUGAGAAGACCUGAAAGAUCAAGCUCUGAGCAAUAACAUCUUCCUCACUGGCUGUGUUUUUACUGCUCUCGAUCGUUCACCAGCAGAUUGAAGAUACACUCACGCUGCUGCUGGCCUGAGGUUGAGAUCUGUAGCACUUCAUGAUGUUCUGAAAGGACUUAUCUUCUUUCGUCACCUGAACAAUGGAUAAAACAGUUAAAACAGCCAUUUUUGUUACUGUUUUGAAAGAAAAAAAGUUACGUGUGACAUACUGUAACAUGCAACGUUCAUUUCACACAACAUUGCAUUGCAAUUUUGACAAACAUUGACUCAACAAAAACUGCUACAAAAGACUAGAAUAUGACCAAUUACAUAUAUAUACACCUAUGAAUAAAUACCUAUAAAUAACUGGUGUUUGAUAAAUAAUG
Onychostoma macrolepis is the source of this 1209-nucleotide long non-coding RNA. RefSeq lists it as uncharacterized. Lineage: Eukaryota; Metazoa; Chordata; Actinopteri; Cypriniformes; Cyprinidae. The transcript is spliced from 3 exons. The record is from RefSeq and is a predicted model, not a curated record.